AUACGCAGGUGGCGAGCGUUGUUCGGAUUUAUUGGGCGUAAAGGGUCCGCAGGGGGCUGAUUAAGUCUGGUGUGAAAUCUUCCGGCUCAACCGGAAAACUGCAUUGGAUACUGAUCAGCUGGAGCAUCGGAGAGGAGAAUGGAGUUCCUGGAGUAGUGGUAAAAUGCGUAGAUAUCAGGAGGAACACCUAAAGCGAAGGCAGUUCUCUGGACGAUUGCUGACCCUCAGGGACGAAAGCGUGGGUAGCAAACAGGAUUAGAUACCCUGGUAGUCCACGCCCUAAACGUUGUGAACUUGAUGUGGGGGGAUUUAACCCCCUCUGUGUCGAAGCUAACGCGAUAAGUUCACCGCCUGGGGACUACGGUCGCAAGACUAAA
Molecule: ribosomal RNA, 377 nt
Filed under: uncultured bacterium
Lineage: Bacteria
Description: bacterial SSU rRNA
Rfam family: Bacterial small subunit ribosomal RNA
Source: RNAcentral